AAAAAGUAUCGGGGUAGCCAUGUUAGUCUGUAUCCAUAAAAACAAUGAGGAGUCUGGUGACACCUUAAAGACUAACAGAUUUAUUUGGGCAUAAGCUUUCAUGGGUAAAAAACCCACUUCUUCAGAUGCAGGAGUGAAGAUUACAGAUGCA
Long non-coding RNA from Dermochelys coriacea (leatherback sea turtle), 151 nucleotides. RefSeq lists it as uncharacterized. Lineage: Eukaryota; Metazoa; Chordata; Testudines; Dermochelyidae. The transcript is spliced from 3 exons. The record is from RefSeq and is a predicted model, not a curated record.